GACGAACGCUGGCGGCGUGCUUAACACAUGCAAGUCGAACGGAAAGGCCUCUUUCGGGGGGUACUCGAGUGGCGAACGGGUGAGUAACACGUGAGUAACCUGCCCUUGACUUUGGGAUAACUUCAGGAAACUGGGGCUAAUACCGGAUAGGAGCUCCUGCUGCCUGGUGGGGGUUGGAAAGUUUCGGCGGUUGGGGAUGGACUCGCGGCUUAUCAGCUUGUUGGUGGGGUAGUGGCUUACCAAGGCUUUGACGGGUAGCCGGCCUGAGAGGGUGACCGGCCACAUUGGGACUGAGAUACGGCCCAGACUCCGACGGGAGGCAGCAGUGGGGAAUAUUGCACAAGGGGUGGAAGCCGGAUGUAGCAACGCCGUGGGCGGGAUGACGGCCUUCGGGUUGUAAACCGCUUUCGCUCAUGACGAAGCUUUGUGUGACGGUAGUGGGUAAAGAAGCACCGGCUAACUACGUG
RNAcentral lists this ribosomal RNA (467 nucleotides) under uncultured bacterium. Its description in RNAcentral is "partial 16S ribosomal RNA". It matches the Rfam family "Bacterial small subunit ribosomal RNA", at positions 28 to 507 of the family's 1533-position model. The record is from RNAcentral.